UACGAAGGGGGCUAGCGUUGCUCGGAAUCACUGGGCGUAAAGCGCACGUAGGCGGAUCCUUAAGUCGGGGGUGAAAUCCUGGAGCUCAACUCCAGAACUGCCUUCGAUACUGAGGAUCUCGAGUCCGGGAGAGGUGAGUGGAACUGCGAGUGUAGAGGUGAAAUUCGUAGAUAUUCGCAAGAACACCAGUGGCGAAGGCGGGUCUCUGGGCCGAUACUGACGCUGAGGAGCGAAAGCGUGGGGAGCGAACAGG
RNAcentral lists this ribosomal RNA (253 nucleotides) under uncultured bacterium. Its description in RNAcentral is "partial 16S ribosomal RNA". It matches the Rfam family "Bacterial small subunit ribosomal RNA", at positions 524 to 776 of the family's 1533-position model. The record is from RNAcentral.